Molecule: ribosomal RNA, 425 nt
Filed under: uncultured bacterium
Lineage: Bacteria
Description: bacterial SSU rRNA
Rfam family: Bacterial small subunit ribosomal RNA
Source: RNAcentral
UGGGGAAUCUUGCACAAUGGGCGAAAGCCUGAUGCAGCAACGCCGCGUGCGGGAAGAAGGCCCUCGGGUUGUAAACCGCUUUCAGAAGGAACGAAACUGACGGUACUUUCAGAAGAAGGUGCGGCCAACUACGUGCCAGCAGCCGCGGUGACACGUAGGCACCAAGCGUUGUCCGGAUUUAUUGGGCGUAAAGAGCUCGUAGGCGGUUCAGUAAGUCGGGUGUGAAAACUUUGGGCUUAACCCAAAGCGUGCAUCCGAUACUGCUGUGACUUGAGUACGGUAGGGGAGCGGGGAAUUCCUAGUGUAGCGGUGAAAUGCGCAGAUAUUAGGAGGAACACCGGUGGCGAAGGCGCCGCUCUGGGCCGAAACUGACGCUGAGGAGCGAAAGCAUGGGUAGCAAACAGGAUUAGAUACCCCCGUAGUCC